RNAcentral lists this ribosomal RNA (472 nucleotides) under Maesaipsyche serrulata. RNAcentral describes it as "eukaryotic LSU rRNA". The record is from RNAcentral. Lineage: Eukaryota; Metazoa; Arthropoda; Insecta; Trichoptera; Hydropsychidae.
AUCAGGGGUAAACCUGUGGAACUCGAACGAUCGAACGGGGAGAUUCAUUCAUCGCGGUUCCGCGCGGGUCCGCGGCGGGACGUUCGGCGGCGGCGGUUCGUCCGUCGUCGCCGUCGGUCCGUCGCUGUCGGGCCCCCGGAGCGCGUGCACUUCUCCCCCAGUACAACACCGCGACCCGUUCGUCGCGGCGGUCGAACGCGCCGUGCGGUUGUCCCGUCGUCGUCGGUAAAACGGCGGCGGCGGAGCCGCGGCGUCGCGGCCGCCGACGGACGGUAGAGAACGAGGUUCGCGUCCGCCGCACUUCGCGUGCGGCGUCCGUGGUGCUGCGGCGGCGCCCCCCGUUCGGACCUCGGCGCGCAAGCGUCGCGGGCUCCGGACGUUCGGUUUCGGGCGUCGCGUUCACACGCGGCAUCGUCUCGGACGGGACGCGUCCCGGUCGGCGGUGGUUUUGUUUCGGGCACUCACAGGACCC